AGUGGGGAAUAUUGUGGCAAUGGAGGAAACUCUGACCCAGCGACGCCGCGUGCGGGAUGAAGGCCUUCGGGUUGUAAACCGCUUUCAGCAGGGAAGAAGCGAAAGUGACGGUACCUGCAGAAGAAGCACCGGCUAACUAUGUGCCAGCAGCCGCGGUAAUACAUAGGGUGCAAGCGUUGUCCGGAAUUAUUGGGCGUAAAGAGCUCGUAGGUGGUUCGUCACGUCGGAUGUGAAACUCUGGGGCUUAACCCCAGACCUGCAUUCGAUACGGGCGAGCUUGAGUAUGGUAGGGGAGUCUGGAAUUCCUGGUGUAGCGGUGGAAUGCGCAGAUAUCAGGAGGAACACCAAUGGCGAAGGCAGGACUCUGGGCCAUUACUGACACUGAGGAGCGAAAGCGUGGGGAGCGAACAGGAU
RNAcentral lists this ribosomal RNA (414 nucleotides) under actinobacterium SCGC AAA028-E20. RNAcentral describes it as "bacterial SSU rRNA". It matches the Rfam family "Bacterial small subunit ribosomal RNA", at positions 353 to 778 of the family's 1533-position model. Lineage: Bacteria; Bacillati; Actinomycetota; Actinomycetes. The record is from RNAcentral.